Molecule: non-coding RNA, 676 nt
Organism: Pelodiscus sinensis (Chinese soft-shelled turtle)
Lineage: Eukaryota; Metazoa; Chordata; Testudines; Trionychidae
Source: RefSeq, a predicted model, not a curated record
GGGACGGGAGUCCGAGCACACUGAUUCCCUGACGUGCGCUUUUUCACAGGGGCGCUCUUGCUUGAGCACGCGGCCCGGCCAGACGCCUCCGCCGCGGACACCUACGCGGCACAGCGGUGGUGCAGCCAGGACCUGUGCCCAGUGCACUCGGCGGAAGAAGCUGGCUGUUACGAUGCCAGGGCGGCUUCUCUGGACAGCACCUUGGUUUAUGAGAAGCCCAGUUUUGGAAGCAAGCUCUGAGGUCAGUGAAGCCGAGAAAAAUCCCCGUCGCUUCAGAAGAGCAAUGACGUUGCCGAAUCGGUGGAGCGACGCUCCACAAAGAGUCUCACGGGUGGGAAUCUUUCGGGACGCGCUCACCGAGUUUUGGGCCAACACUGGGCGUCAAAUGCGCAUAACGAAUGUAGGAAGAAAACUCGGACGCGCUAAUGUCUGGCUGGCGAUCCCAACCCGUCGCCAGAGGCUGCGGAUGUGUGUUCCUAACCUCCGUGAAUUUAGCUAGCUCUCUUUUGAACCCCGUUGCAAGUCCUGGUCUUCGCAUCAUCCUGCGGCGAGGAGUUCCACAGGUUGACCGUGCGCAGCGGGAAGAAAUGCUUCCUUUUGUUUGAAACCUGCUACUUAUUCAUUUUGUUUGGCGGCUCCUAGUUCUUAUGGGAGCAAGGAAAGAACUUUCCACUUU